This 301-nucleotide ribosomal RNA is filed under the name uncultured bacterium. Its description in RNAcentral is "partial 16S ribosomal RNA". It matches the Rfam family "Bacterial small subunit ribosomal RNA", at positions 509 to 807 of the family's 1533-position model. The record is from RNAcentral.
CAGUCGCCGCGGUAAUACGUAGGCGGCAAGCGUUGUCCGGAAUUAUUGGGCGUAAAGGGCUCGCAGGCGGUUUCUUAAGUCUGAUGUGAAAGCCCCCGGCUCAACCGGGGAGGGUCAUUGGAAACUGGGAAACUUGAGUGCAGAAGAGGAGAGUGGAAUUCCACGUGUAGCGGUGAAAUGCGUAGAGAUGUGGAGGGACACCAGUGGCGAAGGCGACUCUCUGGUCUGUAACUGACGCUGAGGAGCGAAAGCGUGGGGAGCGAACAGGAUUAGAUACCCCGGUAGUCCCUGUCUCUUAUAC